Molecule: ribosomal RNA, 253 nt
Filed under: uncultured bacterium
Lineage: Bacteria
Description: partial 16S ribosomal RNA
Rfam family: Bacterial small subunit ribosomal RNA
Source: RNAcentral
UACGUAGGGGGCAAGCGUUGUCCGGAAUCAUUGGGCGUAAAGCGCGUGUAGGCGGCUCGGUAAGUCCGCUCUGAAAGCCCGGGGCUCAACCCCGGGAGGCGGGUGGAUACUGCUGAGCUCGAGUCCGGAAGAGGAGUGUGGAAUUCCUGGUGUAGCGGUGAAAUGCGCAGAUAUCAGGAGGAACACCAAUGGCGAAGGCAGUUCACUGGCAGUCUCCUGACGCUGAGGCGCGAAAGCGUGGGUAGCAAACAGG